AACGAACGCUGGCGGCAUGCCUAACACAUGCAAGUCGAACGAGACCUUCGGGUCUAGUGGCGCACGGGUGCGUAACGCGUGGGAACCUGCCCUUAGGUUCGGAAUAACUCCCCGAAAGGGGUGCUAAUACCGGAUAAUGUCUUCGGACCAAAGAUUUAUCGUCUUUGGAUGGGCCCGCGUUGGAUUAGCUAGUUGGUAGGGUAAAAGCCUACCAAGGCGACGAUCCAUAGCUGGUCUGAGAGGAUGAUCAGCCACACUGGGGCUGAGACACGGCCCAGACUCCUACGGGAGGCAGCAGUGGGGAAUAUUGGACAAUGGGCGAAAGCCUGAUCCAGCAAUGCCGCGUGAGUGAUGAAGGCCUUAGGGUUGUAAAGCUCUUUUACCCGGGAUGAUAAUGACAGUACCGGGAGAAUAAGCUCCGGCUAACUCCGUG
RNAcentral lists this ribosomal RNA (433 nucleotides) under uncultured bacterium. RNAcentral's name for it is "partial 16S ribosomal RNA". It matches the Rfam family "Bacterial small subunit ribosomal RNA", at positions 29 to 507 of the family's 1533-position model. The record is from RNAcentral.